CGGUAUGAAAGGACACUGGUAC
RNAcentral lists this non-coding RNA (22 nucleotides) under Arabidopsis thaliana (thale cress). The record is from RNAcentral. Lineage: Eukaryota; Viridiplantae; Streptophyta; Magnoliopsida; Brassicales; Brassicaceae.